RNAcentral lists this ribosomal RNA (497 nucleotides) under uncultured bacterium. RNAcentral's name for it is "partial 16S ribosomal RNA". It matches the Rfam family "Bacterial small subunit ribosomal RNA", at positions 28 to 507 of the family's 1533-position model. The record is from RNAcentral.
GAUGAACGCUGGCGGCGUGCCUAAUACAUGCAAGUCGAGCGAACAGACGAGGAGCUUGCUCCUCUGAUGUUAGCGGCGGACGGGUGAGUAACACGUGGAUAACCUACCUAUAAGACUGGGAUAACUUCGGGAAACCGGAGCUAAUACCGGAUAACAUGUUGAACCGCAUGGUUCAACAGUGAAAGACGGUCUUGCUGUCACUUAUAGAUGGAUCCGCGCCGCAUUAGCUAGUUGGUAAGGUAACGGCUUACCAAGGCAACGAUGCGUAGCCGACCUGAGAGGGUGAUCGGCCACACUGGAACUGAGACACGGUCCAGACUCCUACGGGAGGCAGCAGUAGGGAAUCUUCCGCAAUGGGCGAAAGCCUGACGGAGCAACGCCGCGUGAGUGAAGAAGGUCUCCGGAUCGUAAAACUCUGUUAUUAGGGAAGAACAAAUGUGUAAGUAACUAUGCACGUCUUGACGGUACCUAAUCAGAAAGCCACGGCUAACUACGUG